AAGUCGUAACAAGGUUUCCGUAGGUGAACCUGCGGAAGGAUCAUUAAAGAAUUGCCCCGUUUUUCGAAGCGGGUUCUAUUCCCAAACCGUGUAUACAUACCUUUGUUGCUUUGGCAGGCCGCCUUCGGGCGUCGGCUUACGCUGACCGCGCCUGCCAGAGGACCCAAACUCUUUUGUUUAGUGAUGUCUGAGUACUAUAUAAUAGUUAAAACUUUCAACAACGGAUCUCUUGGCUCUC
RNAcentral lists this unclassified non-coding RNA (238 nucleotides) under Hyaloscypha sp. Its description in RNAcentral is "partial contains small subunit ribosomal RNA, internal transcribed spacer 1, and 5.8S ribosomal RNA". The stretch from base 1 to 46 matches the Rfam family "Eukaryotic small subunit ribosomal RNA", at positions 1786 to 1831 of the family's 1831-position model. Lineage: Eukaryota; Fungi; Ascomycota; Leotiomycetes; Helotiales; Hyaloscyphaceae. The record is from RNAcentral.